UGUGUGGUAGACAUUGCCUGAUAGAUUGC
This 29-nucleotide non-coding RNA is filed under the name Homo sapiens (human). The record is from RNAcentral. Lineage: Eukaryota; Metazoa; Chordata; Mammalia; Primates; Hominidae.